Molecule: long non-coding RNA, 294 nt
Filed under: Ictidomys tridecemlineatus (thirteen-lined ground squirrel)
Lineage: Eukaryota; Metazoa; Chordata; Mammalia; Rodentia; Sciuridae
Description: lncRNA (ENSSTOG00000034212.1)
Source: RNAcentral
CUUUGUCUAAAUUCAAAGUGCCCUCUACUGUCAAAAAAGCGCACUACUCAGACAUAGAAAAUGACAAGUCUGAAAUCAAAAUCCAGACAGUGAGAGACAGAUGGAAGAAAACUACAAUAGAUAAUGGCACUGCUGCUCAGCCUGGGGCGAUUCAGUUUGGAAUGUUCCAUUGGGCUUCCCCUUUCUGUAUCUCUUCAGCUCCUCUGGUUGACUUUGAACUUUAGCGCACAUCAGAUGAAAUAAAUGAACAGCCAAACAAAUCAGCAUGAAAUGAAAGAAAGAAGCAGAACUCCU